RNAcentral lists this transfer RNA (541 nucleotides) under uncultured Prochlorococcus sp. RNAcentral describes it as "partial 16S-23S ribosomal RNA intergenic spacer". The stretch from base 212 to 284 matches the Rfam family "tRNA". Lineage: Bacteria; Bacillati; Cyanobacteriota; Cyanophyceae; Synechococcales; Prochlorococcaceae. The record is from RNAcentral.
CAGGGAGACAACAAAAUGUUUAAUAUUAUUAUUUUGUCACCUUAGGUCGAUCGGUAUCUCACGUUUUUAAUUUAUUAAGAAUUUCAUUUCCUAAGUUUUUCUAGGUCACACCCAUUAUUUUUCCUGGGCCAUUAGCUCAGGUGGUUAGAGCGCACCCCUGAUAAGGGUGAGGUCCCUGGUUCAAGUCCAGGAUGGCCCAUAUCUCUAUGUUGGGGGUAUAGCUCAGUUGGUAGAGCGCCUGCUUUGCAAGCAGGAUGUCAGCGGUUCGAGUCCGCUUACCUCCACUGAUUACCACCUCUUUCAUAACCGGUAAAAAGGAAAUGUUUUGAGUUGUGAUCAAAUUCUGAAAGAAUCUAGCUUCCUAAUGAAACCAUUAAGAUGCUGGACUCAUUGAAUUAAUUUCAUUGUUUUCAGAGAACCUUGACAACUGCAUAGAUUAUUUUUAAAGACAAUAAGCAUCUUUAAUGAUGCAGAUUUAUUAUUUGUGCGAAUGCAUUAAUAACAAUUCUAUUAAGCUGAUGCUUCAAUUUUUGAAGUUAUU